UGUCUUCGGGGCGGGGUGCAAUUCCCCACUGGCGGUCAUGCGGCGCAAGCCGAUAAGCCCGCGAGCGAAAGCUGAUUCUGGUGCGAGUCCAGAGCCAACGGUACAGUCCGGAUGAAAGAAGC
Molecule: non-coding RNA, 122 nt
Filed under: chicken gut metagenome
Description: FMN riboswitch (RFN element)
Rfam family: FMN riboswitch aptamer (RFN element)
About the family: The RFN element is a highly conserved domain that is found frequently in the 5'-untranslated regions of prokaryotic mRNAs that encode for flavin mononucleotide (FMN) biosynthesis and transport proteins. This element is a metabolite-dependent riboswitch that directly binds FMN in the absence of proteins.
Source: RNAcentral